Danio rerio (zebrafish) is the source of this 504-nucleotide non-coding RNA. NCBI's taxonomy places the organism in Eukaryota, Metazoa, Chordata, Actinopteri, Cypriniformes, Danionidae. The record is from Ensembl.
CUAUAAAACUUAACAGUCAAAAUCAUUAAAUACAAUAAGUUAGUUUAAUUCUUUAAAAGGUUACUUUGACUCAGUGAAAAAGAGUUACUGUAACUCAUCAACAGAUUAAACUAAGCAGAACUCAAAACAAUUGAGUAAUGAAUGAAUUAAUUAUAUUUUUUGUGCUAACUCUAAAACUAGGAGCAAUACCAAACCAUUUCCGUAGCUAUACAGUUGUUUACAGUUAAUUUGUUUACAAUUUGAUGACUGAACUUAAAAUGUUCAAGUUCAUAAUAUAUAUAAAAUAUAUAUAUACAAUUAAAGUCAGAAUUAUUAGCCCCCUUUGUUUAUUUAUUUAUUUAUUUAUUUAUUUUUUAAUAUUUCCCAAAUUAUGUUUAACAGAGCAAGGAAAUGUUCACCGUAUUUUAACUCUGCUUUUUUGUAUAACUUCACAUUUUAUAUAAUUUAUAUAAUUUAUAUAUAUAUAUAUAUAUAUAUAUAUAUAUAUAUAUAUAUAUAUAUAUA